CCUACGGGAGGCAGCAGUGAGGAAUAUUGGACAAUGGGCGCAAGCCUGAUCCAGCCAUGCCGCGUGCAGGAAGACGGUCCUAUGGAUUGUAAACUGCUUUUAUACAGGAAGAAAUACUUUCUCGUGAGAGAGCUUGACGGUACUGUAAGAAUAAGGAUCGGCUAACUCCGUGCCAGCAGCCGCGGUAAUACGGAGGAUCCAAGCGUUAUCCGGAAUCAUUGGGUUUAAAGGGUCCGUAGGCGGUUUAAUAAGUCAGUGGUGAAAUCUGGUCGCUCAACGAUCAAACGGCCAUUGAUACUGUUAGACUUGAAUUAUUGUGAAGUAACUAGAAUAUGUAGUGUAGCGGUGAAAUGCUUAGAUAUUACAUGGAAUACCAAUUGCGAAGGCAGGUUACUAACAAUGGAUUGACGCUGAUGGACGAAAGCUGGGGAGCGAACAGGAUUAGAUACCCUGGUAGUCCCACGACCGUAACGAGUAGAGUACUAGUCGUGUUGGGUCGGCGAACGUUACGUAGUAGGUCGUAACGUACGAAAGGUAGAGUAAGUAAGUACCCUACCCGUACGGGUAGGUACGGUUACGUCGAAGAAGUAGAAACGUUAAAGUUAAGUAAGUUAGUACGGACGUAGAGACGUAGACCGACGGACGACGACGAGGGGAGGAGGG
RNAcentral lists this ribosomal RNA (663 nucleotides) under uncultured bacterium. RNAcentral's name for it is "bacterial SSU rRNA". The stretch from base 1 to 557 matches the Rfam family "Bacterial small subunit ribosomal RNA", at positions 338 to 873 of the family's 1533-position model. The record is from RNAcentral.